CUUCUCUCUUUUUUUCUCCUCCCGACUCUCUCUUCUCUUCCUCUCAAGAACUUCAAUCAUCCCUGAAUCGAUUGCAGUUUCAUACGAUUGCAUAACAGAUCUUCAAUCAUAACAGAUCGGUUACAGUUUCUAUCCGGUGAAGCAGAUGUAAGAGGGGGUGUCGUGAUUGAUAGAUUCUGAUGCUGCGAAGAACAUAUGAUUAUAGUUCAUGAUUUCUGCUGCUGAUUCAUGGCGAGAAAGAGAUGAAAAAGUGAAGAUUAAAUAGGGAUUUCUUCUGGUGAUUUGAGUAAUAGAGAUGGGUUCAAUUGAUUUUAGAGGUUUGAUGAUUUGAAUUGAGGAAUUGAUGAUGCUUUAGGGUUUGUAUAAGAUGGAUCUGUGGUCGAUUUAUGAGAAGAAGAAUGGGUAGUUUAGGUUUGCAAUUGGGUCAUUCUGAUGGUGCUUCUGAGAUGAAGAUGGUGUUUGUGCUUGAUUGAUGGGCCACAUAAGACUGUUUUCCGCCUUCAGAUUAUAAACAGCAAAGCCCCUCUCAGGAGCUUGUGGCUACAGAUUUGCACGGUGUGCAAUGGAGGUUUCUGCAUAUUCACAGAGAUUGUCGAGCAGCGCAAAUAUCACAUCCUUUCUACUAAACAUCAAUAGAGUCUUCCAGUUAUUAAGUAACUGCAGCUUUCCUAAAGUUUCGAGAGAUGCAGAGUUUUCUCAAAGUUUGUUAUAAUUGACGCUGGAUGGCACUCAGUUGUGAUGGAUACUAAUGGAAUUGCAUCCAAAGCUGAAGAUGCAACUAAGUUAAUUGGAUAAUGCUCUGCUGCAGCCAGUUUGGAGAAAAAGGUUGGAAAACAAGGCAGUCAUUAGGUUGAAAAGCAGCUGCAAGUUUUGCAAGUUUCUAGGUAUAUUCUAAGUUAGAUGAAUUUGUGAAGAUAGGGAUUUCUAUGAACUGAACUUAGGUAAUUCCUGUGUAUUUCCUUAGUAUUUGAUACUUAACAAAUAAAUUUUGGUACUUAGAAGAAUUCAAGUUCUUUUUUGUAUGAAUUGAUUUGAA
This is a long non-coding RNA of Papaver somniferum (opium poppy), 1036 nucleotides long. RefSeq lists it as uncharacterized. Lineage: Eukaryota; Viridiplantae; Streptophyta; Magnoliopsida; Ranunculales; Papaveraceae. The record is from RefSeq and is a predicted model, not a curated record. The transcript is spliced from 6 exons.